This is a long non-coding RNA of Patella vulgata (common limpet), 750 nucleotides long. RefSeq lists it as uncharacterized. Lineage: Eukaryota; Metazoa; Mollusca; Gastropoda; Patellidae. The record is from RefSeq and is a predicted model, not a curated record. The transcript has 2 exons.
UUGUGGUUUAUGAAGUCGCGUGGCUGAAACAAUAAGUAAAUGUUAUAUAUGUUUAACUGUGGGGGUAUAUAAGUCUAUACGACAUCUGUUUUUGUGUAUCUACAGAUUAAAGACAUCUACACCUGUACAGAUUAACGAUAGCUACAGACACCUGAACAAUAAUCAUGAGAAGCUUAAUGGUUACCGUGUGUAUUGUCCUGUGUACAGUUACAUUUGGAGAAUCUAAAAUAAGAAGCAAGAGACAAGCUGCUUAUGGAUAUGGUGGACAGACAGCUUAUGGAAUGCCUUCUCAAUAUCCCUCUGCUUAUGGGGCUGCGGUAGAUCCAGCUCAAUAUAGUGCUUACGGUGCAGCAGCUAAUCCAGCUGGUUAUGGCAACGCUGCAUAUGGCAACGCUGCUUAUCAACCUGCUUACCAACAAGCAGCAGCUAACCCGGCUUAUGGCAAUGUUGCUUACCAGCAAGCAGCAGCCAACCCGGCCUAUGGCAAUGUUGCUUACCAACAAGCAGCAGCCAACCCUGCCUAUGCUGCUGUCCCAGCUGCCAGUCCUUACGGUUACGCUAUUACACCCUAAAUAGGGGUACUCCUUAAUCUAUAUAAUAUAUGUUAUACUACAUUGUUGUACGGUAAAUAUACAAUCAGGCGACGUAUUGUUUUUUGUAAAUAAUCGAGAUUUAUAAAUUGUUUGAAUGUUAUAAAUACCAUGUUAUAUAAAUGUGUUAUUAAUAAAUAUAAUAAAAUCAUUACUCAUU